RNAcentral lists this ribosomal RNA (503 nucleotides) under uncultured bacterium. Its description in RNAcentral is "partial 16S ribosomal RNA". It matches the Rfam family "Bacterial small subunit ribosomal RNA", at positions 30 to 523 of the family's 1533-position model. The record is from RNAcentral.
AUUGAACGCUGGCGGCAGGCUUAACACAUGCAAGUCGAGCGGGGUGAUGGUGCUUGCACUAUCACUUAGCGGCGGACGGGUGAGUAAUGCUUAGGAAUCUGCCUAUUAGUGGGGGACAACAUCUCGAAAGGGAUGCUAAUACCGCAUACGCCCUACGGGAGAAAGCAGGGGAUCACUUGUGACCUUGCGCUAAUAGAUGAGCCUAAGUCGGAUUAGCUAGUUGGUGGGGUAAAGGCCUACCAAGGCGACGAUCUGUAGCGGGUCUGAGAGGAUGAUCCGCCACACUGGGACUGAGACACGGCCCAGACUCCUACGGGAGCUAGCAGUGGGGAGUAUUGGACAAUGGGGGGAACCCUGAUCCAGCCAUGCCGCGUGUGUGAAGAAGGCCUUAUGGUUGUAAAGCACUUUAAGCGAGGAGGAGGCUCUUUUGGUUAAUACCCAGAAUGAGUGGACGUUACUCGCAGAAUAAGCACCGGCUAACUCUGUGCCAGCCGCCGCCGUAA